This 254-nucleotide ribosomal RNA is filed under the name uncultured bacterium. Its description in RNAcentral is "partial 16S ribosomal RNA". It matches the Rfam family "Bacterial small subunit ribosomal RNA", at positions 524 to 776 of the family's 1533-position model. The record is from RNAcentral.
UACGUAGGGCGCAAGCGUUGUCCGGAUUUAUUGGGCGUAAAGAGCUCGUAGGCGGUUCAGCACGUCGGGUGUGAAAACUCUGGGCUCAACCCAGAGACGCCACUCGAUACUGCUGUGACUAGAGUCUGGUAGGGGAUCGCGGAAUUCCAGGUGUAGCGGUGAAAUGCACAGAUAUCUGGAGGAACACCAGCAGCGAAGGCGGCGAUCUGGGCCAGUACUGACGCUGAGGAGCGAAAGCGUGGGGAGCGAACAGG